AUGGUCCUCCGGAGCGACACGGGCGACAUCAUUUUUUCUUUAUGCAGAGAACUCCGGACGUGUUCGGAUCCUCUGGAAGCCGAACUGCAGGCCUGCAUGGACGGGCUCAACUUGGCACUUCAAUGGACCCCUUUGCCUAUUGAGAUGGAGACAGACUGCGCGGUGGCGGUACAUGCGCUACUAGCACCGACGAGGGAUAGAUCUCGUUUUGCCUUGCUUGUUGAUCGGGUUAGGCGUUUGAUGCUAGCAGGAAGGGAGGUUAAGCUAGUUCAUAUUCGUAGAGAACAGAACGGACAAGUCACAUCCUACAAAAGAUAUCGGAAGAACACCCGCCGGCUCCCCGCCCCGCGUGAGAGUGUGCUGCUGCCUCAUCAUCUUAGUCCCGCUGAAAGCGAGUCUGUGAGUGAAGGUGACGGCAGGCUCAGCUGCAAAGAUUUCCACAGGAGACACACCGAGAAGAUUCAGAGCUCUCGUCGCUCAAACCUGCUGGGCCCGUGA
RNAcentral lists this ribosomal RNA (498 nucleotides) under Triticum aestivum (bread wheat). RNAcentral describes it as "partial small subunit ribosomal RNA". Lineage: Eukaryota; Viridiplantae; Streptophyta; Magnoliopsida; Poales; Poaceae. The record is from RNAcentral.